This 465-nucleotide ribosomal RNA is filed under the name Vreelandella stevensii. RNAcentral's name for it is "partial 16S ribosomal RNA". It matches the Rfam family "Bacterial small subunit ribosomal RNA", at positions 338 to 795 of the family's 1533-position model. The record is from RNAcentral. Lineage: Bacteria; Pseudomonadati; Pseudomonadota; Gammaproteobacteria; Oceanospirillales; Halomonadaceae.
CCUACGGGUGGCUGCAGUGGGGAAUAUUGGACAAUGGGGGCAACCCUGAUCCAGCCAUGCCGCGUGUGUGAAGAAGGCCCUCGGGUUGUAAAGCACUUUCAGUGAGGAAGAACGCCUGGUGGUUAAUACCCAUCAGGAAAGACAUCACUCACAGAAGAAGCACCGGCUAACUCCGUGCCAGCAGCCGCGGUAAUACGGAGGGUGCGAGCGUUAAUCGGAAUUACUGGGCGUAAAGCGCGCGUAGGUGGCUUGAUAAGCCGGUUGUGAAAGCCCCGGGCUCAACCUGGGAACGGCAUCCGGAACUGUCAAGCUAGAGUGCAGGAGAGGAAGGUAGAGUUCCCGGUGUAGCGGUGAAAUGCGUAGAGAUCGGGAGGAAUACCAGUGGCGAAGGCGGCCUUCUGGACUGACACUGACACUGAGGUGCGAAAGCGUGGGUAGCAAACAGGAUUAGAUACCCCAGUAGUC